Hipposideros armiger (great roundleaf bat) is the source of this 836-nucleotide long non-coding RNA. RefSeq lists it as uncharacterized. Lineage: Eukaryota; Metazoa; Chordata; Mammalia; Chiroptera; Hipposideridae. The transcript has 3 exons. The record is from RefSeq and is a predicted model, not a curated record.
GGGCACGUUGGGGGGCAGCCCGCUGAGCUCCAGUGCCGCCCCCACCUCUGCCUCUGCUUCCUUCAUCACAACCCUGGGCCAGACAGGAAGCAGGUGACCAGGCCUCGAUUUCCCGGAGUGCUGAGAGAGAGCAGCUCCCAUCCUUAACCUGUAAGUGUUUCCCAUCACAGCCUUCCUCCCACCUCCUCCCCGCCCUUCCCAUGGCUCUCUCUCCCAGCUGUGCACCUGCCCAGUCUCCCCGUCUUAUAGCAUCACUGUCAUCAUUGUUGUCACCAUGGCUAACCCCAGAAGGUGCAGGCACUGUGACUGGCUGCAGCAAAUCCUCAUCACAGAAGGGGACGCGGAGGUGCAGAUGCCACGGCAGGGCGGAGCUUAUACCCAGGCUCCACCUUUAGAGCCCCCCCCCCACUGCCCACGUCCAUCUGCUUCCAACCUUUCAAAGACCUGUGCCCACCACGAGCUUCACCUCCCACCUUCCAGGUACGCCUCAGCCCACUGAAGCCCGGCCUCCACCCCAUGCUGCCCCUCCAGGGAGCUGAGGACCUGCCCAGGCUGCACCCCCAGCUGCACACCUGCAACUCUGGCUGCCCCCACCCUGGUCUGAGCCUCCAUCAUCUCUCACCUGGAUCACUACACUAAGCUCCUAACUAACCUGCCACUCCCACCCACCUCUACUGCUUCUCCUCAACAGAGUGGGCCGAGUGGGCCCAGUAAAGUGGCACCAACAGCGGUUACAUCUUGGGCCCAUGAGCCCUAAUGCAUCCCUGCCCGCUCUGUAUUUUCUCUUCCCACGAAACUCACCUGCUAUUACUUGGUACGACUGGCUUACCAUGUGG